AGUGCAUGUGGUGGAUGCCUUGGCAGUCAGAGGCGAUGAAAGACGUGAUAGCCUGCGAAAAGCUCCGGGGAGGCGGCAAAUAUCCUUUGAUCCGGAGAUGUCUGAAUGGGGGAACCCACCUACUUUAAGGUAGGUAUUGCAACAUGAAUACAUAGUGUUGCAAGGCGAACGAGGGGAAGUGAAACAUCUCAGUACCCUUAGGAAAAGAAAUCAAUUGAGAUUCCCUCAGUAGCGGCGAGCGAACGGGGAUCAGCCCAUUAAGUUAUGUGUGUUUUAGUGGAACGCUCUGGGAAGUGCGAACGUAGAGGGUGAUAUUCCCGUACACGAAAGGGCACACAUAAUGAUGACGAGUAGGGCGAGGCACGUGAAACCUUGUCUGAAUAUGGGGGGACCAUCCUCCAAGGCUAAAUACUCCUGACUGACCGAUAGUGAACCAGUACCGUGAGGGAAAGGCGAAAAGAACCCCUGUGAGGGGAGUGAAAUAGAUCCUGAAACCGCAUGCAUACAAGCAGUGGGAGCACCUUCGUGGUGUGACUGCGUACCUUUUGUAUAAUGGGUCAGCGACUUAUAUUCAGUAGCRAGGUUAACCGUAUAGGGGAGCCGUAGAGAAAUCGAGUCUUAAUAGGGCGUUUAGUUGCUGGGUAUAGACCCGAAACCAGGCGAUCUAUCCAUGAGCAGGUUGAAGGUUGGGUAACACUAACUGGAGGACCGAACCCACUGUCGUUGAAAAGCCAGGGGAUGACUUGUGGAUAGGGGUGAAAGGCUAAUCAAGCCUGGUGAUAGCUGGUUCUCCCCGAAAGCUAUUUAGGUAGCGCCUCGGACGAAUACCAUAGGGGGUAGAGCACUGUUUCGGCUAGGGGGUCAUCCCGACUUACCAAACCGAUGCAAACUCCGAAUACCUAUGAGUACUAUCCGGGAGACAGACUGCGGGUGCUAACGUCCGUAGUCAAGAGGAAAACAAUCCAGACCGCCAGCUAAGGCCCCAAAAUCAUAGUUAAGUGGGAAACGAUGUGGGAAGGCAUAGACAGCUAGGAGGUUGGCUUAGAAGCAGCCACCCUUUAAAGAAAGCGUAAUAGCUCACUAGUCGAGUCGGCCUGCGCGGAAGAUGUAACGGGGCUAAAACUAUGUGCCGAAGCUGCGGAUUUGACAUUAGUCAAGUGGUAGGGGAGCGUUCUGUAAGCCGAUGAAGGUGURUUGAGAAGYAUGCUGGAGGUAUCAGAAGUGCGAAUGCUGACGUGAGUAACGACAAAACGGGUGAAAAACCCGUUCGCCGAAAGACCAAGGGUUCCAGUCCAACGUUAAUCGGGGCUGGGUGAGUCGACCCCUAAGGCGAGGCCGAAAGGCGUAGUCGAUGGGAAAAUGGUUAAUAUUCCAUUACUUCUGUGUAAUGCGAUGAGAGGACGGAGAAGGCUAAAUCAGCCUGGCGUUGGUUGUCCAGGUGAAAGGAUGUAGGCAUGUAUCUUAGGCAAAUCCGGGGUACUCUAUGCUGAGAUCUGAUAGCAAGCUGUACUUGUACAGCGAAGUGGUUGAUGCCAUGCUUCCAGGAAAAGUCUCUAAGCUUCAGUUACACAGGAAUCGUACCCGAAACCGACACAGGUGGUCAGGUCGAGUAGACCAAGGCGCUUGAGAGAACUCUGCUGAAGGAACUAGGCAAAAUGGUACCGUAACUUCGGGAGAAGGUACGCUGUUGUUGGUGAUGGAACUCGCUUCCUGAGCUGACGACAGCCGCAGAAACCAGGCCGCUGCAACUGUUUAUUAAAAACAUAGCACUCUGCAAACACGAAAGUGGACGUAUAGGGUGUGAUGCCUGCCCGGUGCUGGAAGGUUAAUUGAUGGGGUUAGCGUAAGCGAAGCUCUUGAUCGAAGCCCCAGUAAACGGCGGCCGUAACUAUAACGGUCCUAAGGUAGCGAAAUUCCUUGUCGGGUAAGUUCCGACCUGCACGAAUGGCAUAAUGAUGGCGGCGCUGUCUCCAGCAGAGGCUCAGUGAAAUCGAAAUCGCUGUGAAGAUGCAGUGUACCCGCGGCUAGACGGAAAGACCCCGUGAACCUUUACUGCAGCUUGACACUGAACUUUGACCUUACUUGUGUAGGAUAGGUGGGAGGCUUUGAAGCUGGAACGCUAGUUCCAGUGGAGCCGUCCUUGAAAUACCACCCUGGUAAUGUUGAGGUUCUAACUCUGUCCCGUGAUCCGGGACGAGGACCGUGUCUGGUGGGUAGUUUGACUGGGGCGGUCUCCUCCUAAAGAGUAACGGAGGAGUACGAAGGUGCGCUCAGCGUGGUCGGAAAUCACGCGUAGAGUAUAAAGGCAAAAGCGCGCUUAACUGCGAGACCCACAAGUCGAGCAGGUACGAAAGUAGGUCUUAGUGAUCCGGUGGUUCUGUAUGGAAGGGCCAUCGCUCAACGGAUAAAAGGUACUCUGGGGAUAACAGGCUGAUACCGCCCAAGAGUUCAUAUCGACGGCGGUGUUUGGCACCUCGAUGUCGGCUCAUCUCAUCCUGGGGCUGAAGCAGGUCCCAAGGGUAUGGCUGUUCGCCAUUUAAAGAGGUACGCGAGCUGGGUUUAGAACGUCGUGAGACAGUUCGGUCCCUAUCUACCGUGGGCGCUGGAAAUUUGAGAGGAUCUGCUCCUAGUACGAGAGGACCAGAGUGGACGAACCUCUGGUGUACCGGUUGUGACGCCAGUCGCAUCGCCGGGUAGCUAUGUUCGGAAGGGAUAACCGCUGAAAGCAUCUAAGCGGGAAGCCUACCUCAAGAUAAGAUUUCCCUAGGACUUUAUGUCCUCUAAAGAGCCGUUCGAGACUAGGACGUUGAUAGGUUGGAUGUGGAAGCAUAGUGAUAUGUGAAGCUGACCAAUACUAAUUGCUCGUGAGGCUUGACU
Molecule: ribosomal RNA, 2877 nt
Filed under: Acinetobacter baumannii
Lineage: Bacteria; Pseudomonadati; Pseudomonadota; Gammaproteobacteria; Moraxellales; Moraxellaceae
Description: bacterial LSU rRNA
Source: RNAcentral